CCUACGGGAGGCAGCAGUGGGGAAUUUUGGACAAUGGGCGCAAGCCUGAUCCAGCCAUGCCGCGUGAGUGAAGAAGGCCUUCGGGUUGUAAAGCUCUUUCAGCCGGGAAGAAAUCGGCGACUCUAACAUAGUCGCUGGAUGACGGUACCGGACUAAGAAGCACCGGCUAACUACGUGCCAGCAGCCGCGGUAAU
This 194-nucleotide ribosomal RNA is filed under the name uncultured bacterium. RNAcentral describes it as "partial 16S ribosomal RNA". It matches the Rfam family "Bacterial small subunit ribosomal RNA", at positions 338 to 524 of the family's 1533-position model. The record is from RNAcentral.